GGGCCCGCACAAGCGGUGGAGCAUGUGGUUUAAUUCGAUGCAACGCGAAGAACCUUACCAGGGUUUGACAUGGGAGUUUGGUUUCCGGAGACGGAUUCCUUCAGUUCGGCUGGCUCCCACACAGGUGCUGCAUGGCUGUCGUCAGCUCGUGUCGUGAGAUGUUGGGUUAAGUCCCGCAACGAGCGCAACCCUCAUCUUUAGUUGCCAUCAGUUAGGCUGGGCACUCUAGAGAAACUGCCUGCGAUGAGCAGGAGGAAGGCGGGGAUGACGUCAAGUCCUCAUGGCCCUUAUGGACUGGGCUACACACGUGCUACAAUGGCGGUGACAGUGGGAAGCGAUAGGGUGAACCUGGAGCAAAUCCCCAAAAAGCCGUCCCAGUUCGGAUUGUACUCUGCAACUCGAGUGCAUGAAGUUGGAAUC
RNAcentral lists this ribosomal RNA (420 nucleotides) under uncultured bacterium. RNAcentral's name for it is "bacterial SSU rRNA". It matches the Rfam family "Bacterial small subunit ribosomal RNA", at positions 917 to 1333 of the family's 1533-position model. The record is from RNAcentral.